RNAcentral lists this long non-coding RNA (2221 nucleotides) under Homo sapiens (human). RNAcentral's name for it is "HSALNT0025310". The record is from RNAcentral. Lineage: Eukaryota; Metazoa; Chordata; Mammalia; Primates; Hominidae.
CAAGCUCACCCUCUUCAACAAUCUUUGCUUUACUGAGUUCCGGGUGGACUAUUUAAAUAUCAUACAAAUUGAUUCUGACAUCACAAUCACUGCCUGCUUCCUAAAACUUGCCCUCCACCGUCUAUUAUAAAUGCUUUCCAAUCAGUGCUCCCAUUCUUCAUUCUAUUCACCACUUAGUUACUAGAAUGUUUUUCUCAACUAUGAAUCUGACUUCACUCCCUUUCUUGAAAACCUCCUGUAGUUCCUGUUGUGUACGGGAUAAAGACUGUGAGCCCCUGGAGUUCAGGGACCAUUUCUUAAUCAUAUUCCAGAACCUAUCACAAUGAAUGACACGAAGAAUAUAUUUGAUAAAAAUCUGAUGAAUGAACCACUCUAAAAUGCAACUCUAAUAAAGAAAAUUACUGCCUAUUCAGUUGGAACUGUACCAUGUUACAAACGUAAAAUUAUGUAUAGUCUGAUAAAGAAAUACUAUAAUAGCCUUGGAAACAGCUCACAUACAAUUUUUUUUAUAAAUGGAUUCAUUACCAUAUAACUGGACCAGCUUACUGAAGAGUAGCCCUACAGCAGUCACUUCGCAGUUUGCAAUUCAUUUGAGGUUCAAAGCUAGCUCAAGGGAAAACAACGUUAGUAUUAACAAACUUAUUUUUAAGCUUAAGGUCAGAAUUUAAGGGAAAAUAAAUAAAUAUAGUAUGUUCUAAGAAUCCAAAGGAAUUUUUAAAAAUUGCCCCCUGCAGCUGUAAUUUCUGCAUGGAUGAGAAAACCUUAAUUGCUUGCUGGCUUCCAAGAAAGCCAUUAACCUGCAUUUAAAAAUUCAGCUUUCAUCAAGAACAACCUCACAUAUCCAGCUCUCAUGGAAAAAGGAAUAGAAGCCUCUGACCUAGUUUUCAAUUAUUACCAAACUACUGAUAAUUGAUCUCCUGGUCUCCAGGUUUGUUUGUUUUACUAAAAUAAAUUCCCUCUGGAGCUGCAGGUGCUUACCAUGGGGCUGCGCAGGUGGAAAGCAGCCCAGUCUUACUAUGAGGAUGUCCGUUUGCCAUCUGGGAACAAGGAGGAAGAAGCAGAGACCUGGGCAAGACCUCAGAGUAAGUGUCCUUUUUGGCGGCUCCCAGGGGUCCCCAUCAUGUGUUAUAGGAAGGCAGAAUUAUUUGAGAUAAGGAUAGGAGCUGAAAUAAGCAGUGCUAAUACUGGUUAAAAGUUGGUGCUUCAGCUGCAGUCACAACAGAUAAUGUCUCUUCAGUUAUAUUUCCAAGCUAUUUCUCAUUUGGCAAUGUACACUUACACCAAAACUGUGAAACUCUCGGAAGUGGCAGACCUUGGCAACAAGUGAAUGGAAACUGUGAAUUACAGUACAUGCCACUGAGUAAGGGGUGCACAUCUAGAAACCAGAAAUCAGGUUCUGUCUUGGCUCAGCGUCUAACUAGAUGUGUGGACUUAGACAAGUCAUUUAACCAUUGGGGAUUCAGUCUCUUCAUCUGUAAAGAGUUCAUUUAGAUGAUCUCUUAAGUCCCUAAGAUCCCCAUUGUUAGGUCCAGGGUCAGGUUCCAGCCCAUGCUGAGGCCGGAAGGGAGUGGGUAGAUGAAUGGCAGACAGCUGAAAGAACACUCAGGGGGCUACGGGUAGGUGAAAUACAAUUUUAUUCAGCAGCUCUCUUACACUGUGUGUCUCGGCUGCUUGUUCCAGCCACUCCCAAGCACAGAUCUCUGCUGGCUCUCUCUCCCUUUGGGGUCAACAGCUUAACUCUUUCCCUCUGAGCGCAAGCAAGCUGAGCUGUGUCCUGGCUCCCCGCUGCAAGACAGACAGAUCUGGUGCUCUCUCUCUUUCUUUGGGUGCAAGCACGCCUGCACAGUGUCACCAGGGCAAUUAUACCUUUUAAAGACAACAGUGGCAAAGAGCCAAGUGAUGGCCCUCCCAUGUUAUGGCUACAUAGCUGUUUAUAUUACACAUGGAGUUGCGCGCCUGCGCUACAGACUUGCUGAGUCACCCGGGAUGUUUACCUCAGCCCAUCCUGCCUGGCUGCAGUGCAGCCAUGUUCCUUACACCUACCAAUUUAAAAGUACUGUAAUUCCAUUUUAAGGGUUCUAAACCAUGAACCAUGUUCAUGGUUUAGGAUUUUAGAUAUUUCUCAUUUAAACUUAGGAGCGAACUCUGCAUUAGGACAUUUCUCCUUUCAUUGUCCAUAAGAUAACUCACCAAAUCCUUGCGCAAAGAGAAACAAAUAUAA